GGGUCCUCGGCUGGAAAGUGGGAACGAGGUCCACACCCUCAGAGGGACUGGGGCAGGCCCCGGAGGAGGUGGCAUCGAGGGAGGGGUCUGCAGGAGGGUGGCCAAUGGGAAAGCAGGGACAAAAAUCCCAGAGGACAGGAGCGUGGGACGGGCUGGAGGCCAGCAGGCAGCCCCCUGGGUGGGCAGGGUUGGGGGAGGCGUGAGGAAGUCACCCGAAAUGAGGAGGCCCUAAUGCACCAGGGUCCUGGAGACCUGACUAGAAUGGGCUUGGAAGAGCCACCUCCCAGCUCAGUGUCCACUGUCACUGCAGAGCGGCCCCCGGACACCUCCUUGCCAGGCCCCAGCUCUGCAGCAGAGCCCUCCGUGGCUCAGGGCAGGGCUUCCCACCGGGUCCUGCAGCGUGAUUGCCAGCCGCUGGGACCGUCCUGGGCUUUGCAGGACAGUGAGCAGUGUCCUUGACCUGCCCACUAGACGCUGGUAGCAUCCCUGUCCCCAAAACGUCUCCAGGAAUGACAAAAUGUCCAACCAGCGGGUGCAAAACAGCCCUCAGUGGGGACUCACUGGCCUGCGCCUGCCUCCCUGGCCCCAGGCUUGGUGUCCUCCCGUCCUCUUGGGGCGGGGCUGGCCUCCUGCCCACUUCCGGUCCCCAGGGGCAGGUGGAGCCCGCCCUGGAUCACAUGGUCCCCAGCCGUGGGAUGGACCUCAGCCCCCGUGGGAGCUUGUUCCUCCAGGACGGUGGCCUCAGCACCACGGCGGCCCUCGUCCGUCACUGUGCGGAGGACACACGCGCCACGCGAGGACCCGACGUCAAUCUUGGUGAUGAUGAUAGAUAGCAGUGGUUUUCCGGGAGGUCAGCAGACCCUGGGCGGGGAGGGACAGGGAGUUGAACUGAGAGAUCAGCCUCUUGCUCUGCCGGGGACCAAGCUCUGUGUCUGUUAUUUUUAAUUUGUCACAAUUUCUCUCCUGCAGGCGGUGAUGCUGCCAAGAGUCG
RNAcentral lists this long non-coding RNA (991 nucleotides) under Marmota monax (woodchuck). Lineage: Eukaryota; Metazoa; Chordata; Mammalia; Rodentia; Sciuridae. The record is from RNAcentral.